RNAcentral lists this unclassified non-coding RNA (337 nucleotides) under soil metagenome. Its description in RNAcentral is "partial contains 5.8S ribosomal RNA, internal transcribed spacer 2, and large subunit ribosomal RNA". The stretch from base 1 to 120 matches the Rfam family "5.8S ribosomal RNA", at positions 35 to 154 of the family's 154-position model. The record is from RNAcentral.
GAUGAAGAACGCAGCGAAAUGCGAUAAGUAGUGUGAAUUGCAGAAUUCAGUGAAUCAUCGAAUCUUUGAACGCACAUUGCGCCCCUUGGUAUUCCAUGGGGCAUGCCUGUUCGAGCGUCAUUUGUACCUUCAAGCUUUGCUUGGUGUUGGGUGUUUGUCUCGCCUCUGCGUGUAGACUCGCCUUAAAACAAUUGGCAGCCGGCGUAUUGAUUUCGGAGCGCAGUACAUCUCGCGCUUUGCACUCAUAACGACGACGUCCAAAAGUACAUUUUUACACUCUUGACCUCGGAUCAGGUAGGGAUACCCGCUGAACUUAAGCAUAUCAAUAAGCGGAGGA